Molecule: non-coding RNA, 3004 nt
Organism: Taeniopygia guttata (zebra finch)
Lineage: Eukaryota; Metazoa; Chordata; Aves; Passeriformes; Estrildidae
Source: RefSeq, a predicted model, not a curated record
UUUCUGUCACUAGUGAUGCAAAUGCUUCCCAUAUGCUGCUGCUUCCCUGAGAUUAACAGUGGUCUUUAUCCUACACAUUCCAGAGGGGACUCUUAAACUGAACAAAGGCACAAACUUGGAGAAACAUAUACACCAGGAUGCCUACCAUGCUCUAAGAUAUCUUUCGAGUUGCAUUUAUCACCAACAUUAAAAGCCCAGUCUGGCUUCUGUAUAAAACUGAGAUUUCAGUCCUGAAUAUUGACUUGAUCUCCAGUAUGGGAGAGGUACUGUGGAUUUCACAGGCUGGAUGCUCCUGUCCUCAGACUGAAACCAGGACAUGUUCAUCCUUAAGAUUUAUGCAUUUUGAAAACAACUCAGAAGGUGGCAAGAAGGCAGAGCCUGGAGAAUCAAAGCAAAAAGCAAACCAGCAGGUAUGUUAGCUGCAAGCUUUGUAGUGAAGCAACUAAUUUCAACCUCCCUCUGCAGGUUCACUGAACUUUUUCAAAUGUGACCACUUCUGGCAUGCAAACCCCAAGCAACUUCACUUUGAUUUCAGAUUAGUCUCCUCUAAAGAUUUAGGAAUCAAAGGGGUUUGGAAUCACGACACGAAUUUAAUAUGACAGUUUCAUGUAGAACAAGCCUCUUACUCAGCAUGAUGCACCCAGAGACUCAGCUUCCAUUUCUUCAUUACAUGCUACCCCAUAAGCAUACUGGUUUAAUCCUUGAGGGCAAACACACUGUUUUAACCACCUCUCCAUAAAAAAUGUUCUGCUUUCUUUUCAGAAUGGAGAAAACAUGCAGAAAUGAGGCUUCGACCUUCAUUUUGGAGCCACUCCAUCAGCAUAUUUCCCAAGAAAUACAUUACAGACUAAGCUCUUCCCAGCCUAUAAAUAACCCCAAAAAAUUUAUAUAUAUAGCAGCUCUGGAAGAUCCACUAGAAUAGAAAUUGGCAUAUACAUUGACACCUGUGAAUAUUUUAUAUUACAGCCCUACUUACAGCUCAUUCAGCUCACAAAGAACCAGCCAGAGAGCAGUUUCUAAAUGGAAAAGUUCAGACCAACGUGGAGAGAAAUGGAUGUAGCUCCUAAAACCAGACACUGAUGCUUAAAAGCUUGUAUAAAUGAUUCCCUGAAAAAGGUUGUUUUCCUGCUGCAAGAGCGUUACAGCUCAACAAAAGAUCUCUGAGGUCCUGUUAAUCAGCUUUAAGAGCCAUUAAUGAUGCUCCUCUGAGAGGCUGAGCAGGGAUAGCUGCCUCUCAGUUUUCCUGAGCCCAGAUCAAAUUCGAAGAUAGGCCAAAAAACCCAACAAGCAACAUCCAGCCUUGCACUGAAAAACAGAAGAAAUGCUGUCCCUUGCAAUAAAAUAAAACUUCCACAAGUUACCCAGUUCCAUAAACUUCAUUUCUUUUCUUUAGCAUCAACAGAAGAAAGAUCAAGCUAAUGUUACCCUAUUUUUAUAUGCCUUCAAAUUUCAACAGAAGUUAAUUUUUUCAUUCUCUCUACUUCUCUCCCCAGGCAACGAAAGUCAGCAGCAAGACAGAAAUGUCACAUCCUAAAAAACCCAGUUCUAAACUUCUAGUAUUUUCAUCCACUUACUGUCUUGGGAUUAAACACCAACACUGAUGCUUAAACAAAAAUUCAAGUAAAUAUUGGUAAACAGUCUUCAUGCAGGUUAUGCCACUUUGCUGUGACAGCCAAAGUUAAAGAGUAAAUUUACAGCAUUGAUCAGGACUCUCUCAUGUCCCACAUCCUGAGCUGAUACAGCCUAGAAUAUUCUUAAUUUAAAAAAUAUAUGUGAUCCCACUACUUACCCUAGAGUAAAACUAACCACACUGUGCAACAAUGCAAGCACCUUUCUAGGGACCUGAAGCUGGUUGAUAAACACUUGAUCUCACAAACAAUUUGGUCCUAGUUAUUUCCAAAAUUAUUACUCCCUGUCCACAAAAUGCUUCACUUUGGCAUGGAGCCUGAUUCUGACAUUUAUCUUGUGAUCCCAUGAUCAAACGAGUCUGCGUGCAAACCUCGGUGCACUCAGAGGUUGAGGCAUAAUUUGGUUAAUUUUUUUAAUACUUAAAUGUAAUUCCCAAGAUGCUGGAAUGAAUCAUUUCUAUGUCUGCCUUUAAUAUAAAUCAUAUUUAGGCAGCUGUGCAUUUUCAGAUCUAAACCACCCGUUUGCUUUCAUGCACAUUUGAGUUAUGAUCUCAUUUGUACUGACAGAAAAGAAAGGUUGAAUAAUCUAAUUUAAUCAAGUAUCAGAGACUGAAAAUUCCUUUGCAAAGAGUCUACUUAAUAACUGCCAUCUAAGUCAUCUCAGGUAUUCAACUUUUAUCUGGCACAUAGAUUUUAAGCAUAUGUGAGCCAUAUGCAAAGCAGAAUUUGAUAGUGGGCUGCAUCUCAGCUCCAUGUGAGUCCGGGAAGUGCUACACCCAACUACCACCAUCAGCCUCAUCAUUUGUUUUGGACCCUGGAUAAACUUUGCAUUGUAUUAACAGGAUUCUUCGUGGCUGCAAAUGCUGCCUGCUUAUGGUACCUACCAAUAACAGUACCACAAUGAGGUAAGCUUGUACCUUGCCUUCCUCAAAACAUUUGGCAAAAUCACUGUCUUCACAUUCCUCUUUUUCUUGAAUUUCUCUCCCACAUCCCCCAUAGAAAAUGCUUCCAAGUACUGGGGGCAGAUGGUGGCUCUCUGGAAUAACAGCCUCACCUUAUCCAAGGUUUUCUGAGUCAAGAGAAAAGCCUCUACCGGUUUUAAUCACCUGUAGGCCAGCCCUGAAGGUGUAGCCAGGUACUGUAUGGAAUUUUUUCACUAAUCAGCUUCCUAGAGUCAAGGAUCACAUGCACUUGGGCAUGCCUAUGGUCAACUUGCCUCUGUCUCUACUUAGGUGUGGGAAAACGCUGCCCUGAAAGGCUGUUUACAGCCUGUGAUUGAGGCAUAACAGCAAAUAGCACCCCUGGAUGAACCUGGGAGGACAGCCAGGCAUGGAGGAGGGUGUGAAAACAAUAAAUUGUUGUUUCUGUAAAAAAAA